GGGUUGUGAGGUUAAGCGACUAAGCGUACACGGUGGAUGCCCUGGCAGUCAGAGGCGAUGAAGGGCGUGCUAAUCUGCGAUAAGCGCCGGUAAGGUGAUAUGAACCGUUAUAACCGGCGAUACCCGAAUGGGGAAACCCAGUGUGAUUCGUCACACUAUCAUUACGUGAAUACAUAGCGUAAUGAAGCGAACCGGGGGAACUGAAACAUCUAAGUACCCCGAGGAAAAGAAAUCAACCGAGAUUCCCCCAGUAGCGGCGAGCGAACGGGGAGGAGCCCAGAGCCUGAAUCAGCAUGUGUGUUAGUGGAAGCGU
Molecule: ribosomal RNA, 313 nt
Filed under: Salmonella enterica subsp. enterica serovar Bareilly
Lineage: Bacteria; Pseudomonadati; Pseudomonadota; Gammaproteobacteria; Enterobacterales; Enterobacteriaceae
Description: bacterial LSU rRNA
Rfam family: Bacterial large subunit ribosomal RNA
Source: RNAcentral